AAUAUGAGCUAAAAUCUAGUCCUGUUUAGACAGGGAUCCAAUGACUUUAUAUACAUGCCAAUGGACCUUUGACUAUAUCAUGUAUAUUUCUUUUACUGCCAUGGCUAUAUGUUUAUAUAUAGCUGUUUCAGGUGCAGUAGCAGCUAUUUCAGAGAGCAUCCACCCCUAGUUUUCACGAUUGCCUUAUCUCAUAAAGGCAGCAAGCGAUUCUCACUUCUGAUUUUUAGAUGCCCAAAAUCUUUUCUCUUCUGUAGUAAUGGUGUUGUCGACCGCGUUUUAGGGGAUCGGGCCCUUAAGGAGAAACCCGAUCCGGUCCUGAGAGAACGGACCUUGGCGGAGCCAAUAGGAAAAUAUGAGCCGCAAUACAACCUGAAGCCGAAAUGAAGAAGGUCCGCCAAAGUUGAAGGAAAAUCCGCCAAGGAGUCUUUAUUGAGCAAUUCAGCUGAAGAGGACUCUAGUAGCGAUCAUUCAGUCUACUAGGGUACCACAUAAUCAAAAUAAAGCCAUAUUUAUACAAAAUUUCAGUCUGACAGCCCUUUGGAUUUCCCGCCCCACUCCCCCGCCCAUCUGAUCGUUGAUAGGCUAGAAGGUUGAACGAGGCGGGCUUUCGUUUCCCGCCUUGCUCCGUUGGCCCAAUAGGAAGCUACCUUUUGUCUCUACUCAGGCCAAUCAGGAAAGAGAAGGCGGGAGUUAUUGAAACAAUGGGGUGACAGGGCAGGAACUGUCGGAUUAAGACCUGCUAGACCGAUUUCUAAAGGGAUUAAUGGCAGCAAUCAAGGGUUUCUGUCACGUAUACAGAUUUUAGAUAUGCCUUGGGGUGUCAGAGAUGGAAGCAAAGAUGGGUGGUGAUGAGCCAUAUUGACAGGCUCUGCAGGGCGCCUUCCUGAGGUGUCCUGGAUUUUCCUUUGGGUGAGAUAUGACAAUGUUUGCCUUGGGGCGAAUCACCUUUAGGUCAACACUCCGAAUUCGGCGACUCAAGCCCUAUAUUGUCCAUGCAAUCUGAAUUUGACUGGGUUUAGUGGUGGCAGAUUAUCCUUUUGUUUUUGGGAAGGGAAGCCUGGGUCAUAGGAAAUGGGAUAGGUUUUGGGGUUCAGGUUGAGUUCAAAAUAUUUCCUAUUUGAUUUCAUGACUUGGCAAUUAUAUGAAAUAAAAUGAAAAAUAAAAUAAAGUUGGAAUAUAAACCCUGCUGGGAAAAAUACAUAUUUUCCGGGGAUCCGAAAGAGUACACAUACAUAAAGGCAGAUAGAUAGUAAGGCAGGAAUGAAGGGGUAGGAGGAAAUGGCCAUAUAAGGAGGUACGAGCAGGCCAGGAACACAGCCGAUGGGUUAUCACAUGAUUUCCCCGAAAUCAUGUGUUUUGAGAGAAACGAAAGUAAUGAAAUGUAAUACUGCACCACAAAUAUGCACCAAUGGUUUGAUAUGUGGGCGGUCGUAAACUGAACCCACUGAAUUGUAUAAAUAGACACUUGACCCUGUCUGCAGGGUUCUCCCUUUUCAGCAUCUAGUUGUGCGUGGGAUGAACCUCUGCAGCUGCAUGAAUUUUAGUAAACUGCUUUCUUUGGAAAAAACUCCAGUUGUCUGUCUCCUACUUCCACUGCGUCCGCACAGACACACGACAAGCCGAGAAGAGGGGAAGUCUGGCUUCCGCUACAUUUUCUGGUGACCCCGACGUGAUUCCACAAUAAGACGGGCCAGGAGAUCGGAGACGGAUCCCGUUGGCGGGACGGUCCCAACUCAGCGGUGGGGGCCAGAGGCAACUACCGUGAGACGAGAAGGGGCCCCUGAAUAUUGCAAGACCGGCUGCGGUACUUGCCUCUGAUGCCAACGCCGGCCGACGGUGGGAGCCGCAAUGACAGCGAGGUUCCAAAGAAACCAGCCAGGAGGAAAAGGAUCCAGGGAAAAGUCCAGGGGCGAAGGUUGGUCCGACGUCUACAGCAAUCUGGCAAGUAUAGUGGUUAAAUGAGACACUAAGGGAACACAGUUACCGGCGCCGGGAGGGACACACAAAGGUUCCCAGGGAGGUAUAAAGGGGUUCUGUCUUGUGAUUCCUGACGCAUACCAUUGAGUGUCCGGGUGCCCAGGCCAAGGCAGUCCCCUCUAUUAGGCAGAAUGGGAGGCAGUGGGUUCAAAUCCACCACCCCAUUACAGUGUAUGGUAGACAAUUUCGGCUCAGUUGCAAGUAGAGCCGUAGAAGGAAUUCCCCAGAGAACAAGACUUGUGAGGCUGCCCCAAGACCAAGUCGUGCAGGGCUCAUGAGGAGUCGCAACUCCCGGGGAAAGGAAAAGAAAAAAAAAAUUGAAAAGAGGGAAGGUGGCAUACCCUUUUGAAAAAAAAACAACAACAAAAAACUGUUUGAUUUCUUUGUCAUGUGUGGGGAAUAAUGAGUUUCAAGUUCUGCAUGUUUCGUGGUAAUAUUGAAGUGAAAAUGAAAAAUGAGUCUAAAGAUUUACAAAAAAAAAUGUUGAGCACAAAUAUCUAGAAAUGUUUUAUUACGGUUGAAAAAAUCUGAUUCGAAGAGGGUCUGUCUGUGUUAGUUUGCUUUUGCUGACAAGCUGCAGAGAAAAAGAGAGGGAGGCUGUUAAAGUGGUGUUGAGGCUCAGAAACUGUCUUUCAAAGGAGUUUUCCUUGUUAUUUCUGAGGAACAAAGGCUGUUUUCUUAAAAAGUUUUCCUUUGCACCUGGGCCUCAUGCCAAAAAGAUAGUGGGAAAAUCUUGGCAGACAGUCCAAGGUAAAAACGAUAAGUUUGUUAGAAUGUUUCUUCCCUGUCAUUCUUGUUAAACUCAGGCGAAAUGCCCAGAGAAAGAUAAUGGAAUUCCAGUGGACAGCCAAGGUCAAUGAAAGCCGCUGUGAACUAGUGAAGUUUUAAAAAUGUAAUGUGAAUUUAAUAUGAAAAAAAGAAAGAAAAUGAUGAUGUAAAUAUAUAUAUAUAUAUAUAUAUAUAUAUAUAUAUAUAUAUAUAUAAUAUUGGGGUUCUGUCUUUCACCUGGAUCUUAAAUCCUUGCUUUGGACUUAUUUUGGGACAACUGGGUGAGAAUGUUUCAUGAGCUGAGAGAGAGUGUGUGACUUUAUCUAAACAACUAACCACUAAUCAGAAUUCCUGUGGACCUUGUGUGAAUGAGAUGUAUGUGUUGAAUUCAAAAUGCAUAAAGAGUUAUAAACAAUGUUAGUAGAUUUGUUCAGAAGCAAUUCGGAAGCUGUAGAUAUUUUUUUUUGGGAAAAAAAAAUGGUCUUAGGCUUGAAGAAAAAAAAAUCCUUGUUUUGAAAGAACAAUGCUUCAGUGUUUUUAGAGAACAUGGUGAUACAACAGAUAAGAGCUGGACAUCUGCCCAGAAAUUGAAUCUCAAGAAAAAAAAAAUGAGCCUGAACAAGUGCACUUUUGAAAACUCAAGCCUCUGUGGGCUACUUCCCCCUUUUUCUGUUCUACAGACUGUUUAAACCCCUUACAGGUUAUAGGGAAAUGUUGGAGGAGAGGAGUUAUUAGUUGUGGAGACUUUGUAUGGAAAACUGUCACAAGGUGGCAGUGCAAAAAAAAAAUAUAAUAUUUAUUUUUGGAAAAAAAAAUUGAUCCCAUAUUCCUGACACAGAAGGAUUAAGAACUGACAUUGAUUUUUAAAUUUUUGAUUGACAUUUUAUUCAAAAAGGGAGCUAGUGCCCAAGUGAUAAAAAGUUAUCCUUUUGAGAACCAAAGACAUGAUAUAAUUGGCUGCAUCUCAUGUUGCUUCAUAAUAAUUUUGUGAGAUUUGGAUUCUGGACUUUGUGAUUCUGGCCCAACUCUUUCUAAAGGUUACGGAAAGGGAGGACUAGGACUUUUGUAAACGGGACAUUAGAUCAUGCAAAUAGGGGCAUUUUUUCCAUCGCCCCCAGCCUGGAUUUUGCCAGAUUUGAGAAGCGGCAGGAGGCUUUUCAACGUGUGUUACUAACAAAUUUUGAGCUGUUCAACGAGUCGGUGUAAAAGGGGAAUUGAGUAAGUUUAACACUGCAGCAGGACUGGAGUGGAAGAUUGCAUUGCAGCAAGUGGAUAGACGAUUGUUAAAUCGUUUGCGGAAAAGAAAAGAAAAAAAGAUGCGGAGAAGAAAGAUUUUGUUGGAUUUCAAGACGGAUGAGUGUGUUGUCGAAGGCACAACCUCUGAGGAGGCCUGCCGUGGAUGUGAGUGAAACGACUAGAGAGAGUGCUUCAAGAGCCAUACAGCCUGGAAGGAUGAGUAUUUCCCUCCCCUUCUUUUCCCUCUCAUUGUUUUUUGCUACAGGUCCUGAACUCCUGUAUGGGAUAAACCCAGAAGUCUAUGAGACAUGUUUAUUGAGAGGCCUGGGAGGGCCUAUAGGUGUUGCUGAGUGUUAAGGCUGUGAUGGAGUGUGGCAUCAGGCUGGAGGCUGUAAGGGCUGACCAACUCAACAACAUACAAUUUUCUAUUUUGACCCAACUCUCCUGGUUAGGACCUUUUGUAACGGGACAUUGCAAAUAAUUCGGAUUUUUGCCGGAUUUGAGAGACAAUGAGGGACUUUUUCAUAUGCCAUCUAACAACCUUGCUUUUUAAGCCAAAAGGAGGAUAUAGCACGGAGGCAAUGUGACAAAGAAUAAAAUAAGUUAACCAUUGCAGCAGGACCAGAGUAAAAAGGAUUACUGCAGAUCGCGAAAGAAGGCCCAUGGAGGAAUCGUUUCUCAAGAGGCCAUGGAGGGGUCGUUUGGGAGCUGAAUAGUGGCCUACCUGCCCCACCCGUGGAGAGACAAGGGAUUUCAACAAGAUUGGCUGAGACAAAAGUGAUGCCGAACAGGAUGAUCGACAGAUGGGUAAUCCGUUCCCCCUCCCCCAUUCUCUCUCACUGUCUUCCUGCUUUCUUUUUCAGCUUUUUGGACUCCUGUUCCUAAAUUGGAGAUCCAUAAGGCAUUAUUACUGGAAGGCCUGUUUUGGAAUCCAAAACCUGCAGGAGUUUAAGUCUACCCCACGCCACACGCUGGGUAUACUGGGAAUGACAGCUAAAGCCCUGUGAGAGAUGGAGAUUUUCUUUACAGACUUUAUCUUUACACAGAGACAAUUCUUAGAGACUAGAGACUUGAUUGGACAAAGAGACUUUCUUCAAAUUAACUGAACAUUAUUCCUUUGAUCAAGGAAGAGGAAACACACCCCCAGUUUGACUUUAUGCCAAAGACUGAAAAGACCUGAAAGUUGGACAUGUAUGUGAAUGGCCACCUCUGGCCAUAGCAACAAAUCCAUCAUCGGAAGAAGCCAAAUGACUGGGCUAGAUCAGAAUUCUACUGUGGACUAUAUCCUUUCUAAAACCUGAUUAAUAUUUUUAAUCCUCAUGUGUUGUUUACCUCUGGUGAUGAAACUAUGUACAAAUGCUAUUCUGCGCUCAUUUUCCACUGAAAAGAUAGCUCGGCUGCAAGCGAGAAGGGAUUGGAGGGACCCAUAAGUCUGCUCAUUUGGUUUGCUUCAGCUUUGUAUACACGCUUCGCAAAAAAAAAAAAAAAUGGGGGAAUAAGGCAGGAAUGAAGGGGUAGGAGGAAAUGGCCAUAUAAGGAGGUACGAGCAGGCCAGGAACACAGCCGAUGGGUUAUCACAUGAUUUCCCCGAAAUCAUGUGUUUUGAGAGAAACGAAAGUAAUGAAAUGUAAUACUGCACCACAAAUAUGCACCAAUGGUUUGAUAUGUGGGCGGUCGUAAACUGAACCCACUGAAUUGUAUAAAUAGACACUUGACCCUGUCUGCAGGGUUCUCCCUUUUCAGCAUCUAGUUGUGCGUGGGAUGAACCUCUGCAGCUGCAUGAAUUUUAGUAAACUGCUUUCUUUGGAAAAAACUCCAGUUGUCUGUCUCCUACUUCCAUUGCGUCCGCACAGACACACGACAAGCCGAGAAGAGGGGAAGUCUGGCUUCCGCUACAAUAGAUUUCAUGGAAAUAAGGGAGAAUCCAUAAAAGUGAGUUACAUUGCAUAAAAGGGAAUCAUGAAUGAUAUAAACAAUUAAAAAUAUUUGAUAAGAACGAAGUUCAUAACAUCUGGAGAACCCAGCAUGGAAAUUCAUAAAAGUGGAGUUUUAGCAGCAUGAUUUUACAAUUCAUGAAGUUGUUAUCUCUUGCCUCAGAGUGCAGGGAUAAUCCACAGUAAACUCCAGUAAAAAGUCUCAAUCAC
Anolis carolinensis (green anole) is the source of this 6125-nucleotide long non-coding RNA. RefSeq lists it as uncharacterized. Lineage: Eukaryota; Metazoa; Chordata; Lepidosauria; Squamata; Anolidae. The record is from RefSeq and is a predicted model, not a curated record. The transcript has 2 exons.